Molecule: ribosomal RNA, 57 nt
Filed under: Alternaria sp. MY-2011
Lineage: Eukaryota; Fungi; Ascomycota; Dothideomycetes; Pleosporales; Pleosporaceae
Description: partial 18S small subunit ribosomal RNA
Rfam family: Eukaryotic small subunit ribosomal RNA
Source: RNAcentral
UUGGAAGUUAUAAAUGUAACAAGGUCUCCGUAGGUGAACCUGCGGAGGGAUCAUUAC